RNAcentral lists this transfer RNA (72 nucleotides) under Candidatus Kuenenbacteria bacterium CG_4_10_14_3_um_filter_39_14. Its description in RNAcentral is "tRNA-Arg". It matches the Rfam family "tRNA". From Rfam's summary of the family: Transfer RNA (tRNA) molecules are approximately 80 nucleotides in length. Their secondary structure includes four short double-helical elements and three loops (D, anti-codon, and T loops). RNAcentral also lists the same sequence under 3 other names. The record is from RNAcentral. Lineage: Bacteria; Candidatus Kueneniibacteriota.
GCCCCUGUGGUGAAAUGGAUAUCAUUUUUGGCUUCGGACCAAAAGUUUCGGGUUCGAGUCCUGACAGGGGUA